This 252-nucleotide ribosomal RNA is filed under the name uncultured bacterium. RNAcentral's name for it is "partial 16S ribosomal RNA". It matches the Rfam family "Bacterial small subunit ribosomal RNA", at positions 524 to 775 of the family's 1533-position model. The record is from RNAcentral.
GACGAAGGGGGCUAGCGUUGUUCGGAAUUACUGGGCGUAAAGCGCGUGUAGGCGGUUGCCAAAGUCGGGUGUGAAAGCCUUGAGCUCAACUCAAGAAUUGCACUCGAUACUUGGUGACUAGAGGACCGGAGAGGAUAGUGGAAUUCCCAGUGUAGUGGUGAAAUACGUAGAGAUUGGGAAGAACACCAGUGGCGAAGGCGGCUAUCUGGACGGUUUCUGACGCUAAGACGCGAAAGCGUGGGGAGCAACAGG